Molecule: ribosomal RNA, 2902 nt
Filed under: Escherichia coli 2-460-02_S1_C3
Lineage: Bacteria; Pseudomonadati; Pseudomonadota; Gammaproteobacteria; Enterobacterales; Enterobacteriaceae
Description: bacterial LSU rRNA
Rfam family: Bacterial large subunit ribosomal RNA
Source: RNAcentral
UUAAGCGACUAAGCGUACACGGUGGAUGCCCUGGCAGUCAGAGGCGAUGAAGGACGUGCUAAUCUGCGAUAAGCGUCGGUGAGAUGAUAUGAACCGUUAUAACCGGCGAUUUCCGAAUGGGGAAACCCAGUGUGUUUCGACACACUAUCAUUAACUGAAUCCAUAGGUUAAUGAGGCGAACCGGGGGAACUGAAACAUCUAAGUACCCCGAGGAAAAGAAAUCAACCGAGAUUCCCCCAGUAGCGGCGAGCGAACGGGGAGGAGCCCAGAGCCUGAAUCAGUGUGUGUGUUAGUGGAAGCGUCUGGAAAGGCGCGCGAUACAGGGUGACAGCCCCGUACACAAAAAUGCACAUAUUGUGAGCUCGAUGAGUAGGGCGGGACACGUGGUAUCCUGUCUGAAUAUGGGGGGACCAUCCUCCAAGGCUAAAUACUCCUGACUGACCGAUAGUGAACCAGUACCGUGAGGGAAAGGCGAAAAGAACCCCGGCGAGGGGAGUGAAAAAGAACCUGAAACCGUGUACGUACAAGCAGUGGGAGCCUCUUAAUGGGGUGACUGCGUACCUUUUGUAUAAUGGGUCAGCGACUUAUAUUCUGUAGCAAGGUUAACCGAAUAGGGGAGCCGAAGGGAAACCGAGUCUUAACUGGGCGUUAAGUUGCAGGGUAUAGACCCGAAACCCGGUGAUCUAGCCAUGGGCAGGUUGAAGGUUGGGUAACACUAACUGGAGGACCGAACCGACUAAUGUUGAAAAAUUAGCGGAUGACUUGUGGCUGGGGGUGAAAGGCCAAUCAAACCGGGAGAUAGCUGGUUCUCCCCGAAAGCUAUUUAGGUAGCGCCUCGUGAAUUCAUCUCCGGGGGUAGAGCACUGUUUCGGCAAGGGGGUCAUCCCGACUUACCAACCCGAUGCAAACUGCGAAUACCGGAGAAUGUUAUCACGGGAGACACACGGCGGGUGCUAACGUCCGUCGUGAAGAGGGAAACAACCCAGACCGCCAGCUAAGGUCCCAAAGUCAUGGUUAAGUGGGAAACGAUGUGGGAAGGCCCAGACAGCCAGGAUGUUGGCUUAGAAGCAGCCAUCAUUUAAAGAAAGCGUAAUAGCUCACUGGUCGAGUCGGCCUGCGCGGAAGAUGUAACGGGGCUAAACCAUGCACCGAAGCUGCGGCAGCGACACUAUGUGUUGUUGGGUAGGGGAGCGUUCUGUAAGCCUGUGAAGGUGUACUGUGAGGUAUGCUGGAGGUAUCAGAAGUGCGAAUGCUGACAUAAGUAACGAUAAAGCGGGUGAAAAGCCCGCUCGCCGGAAGACCAAGGGUUCCUGUCCAACGUUAAUCGGGGCAGGGUGAGUCGACCCCUAAGGCGAGGCCGAAAGGCGUAGUCGAUGGGAAACAGGUUAAUAUUCCUGUACUUGGUGUUACUGCGAAGGGGGGACGGAGAAGGCUAUGUUGGCCGGGCGACGGUUGUCCCGGUUUAAGCGUGUAGGCUGGUUUUCCAGGCAAAUCCGGAAAAUCAAGGCUGAGGCGUGAUGACGAGGCACUACGGUGCUGAAGCGACAAAUGCCCUGCUUCCAGGAAAAGCCUCUAAGCAUCAGGUAACAUCAAAUCGUACCCCAAACCGACACAGGUGGUCAGGUAGAGAAUACCAAGGCGCUUGAGAGAACUCGGGUGAAGGAACUAGGCAAAAUGGUGCCGUAACUUCGGGAGAAGGCACGCUGAUAUGUAGGUGAAGCGACUUGCUCGUGGAGCUGAAAUCAGUCGAAGAUACCAGCUGGCUGCAACUGUUUAUUAAAAACACAGCACUGUGCAAACACGAAAGUGGACGUAUACGGUGUGACGCCUGCCCGGUGCCGGAAGGUUAAUUGAUGGGGUUAGCGGUAACGCGAAGCUCUUGAUCGAAGCCCCGGUAAACGGCGGCCGUAACUAUAACGGUCCUAAGGUAGCGAAAUUCCUUGUCGGGUAAGUUCCGACCUGCACGAAUGGCGUAAUGAUGGCCAGGCUGUCUCCACCCGAGACUCAGUGAAAUUGAACUCGCUGUGAAGAUGCAGUGUACCCGCGGCAAGACGGAAAGACCCCGUGAACCUUUACUAUAGCUUGACACUGAACAUUGAGCCUUGAUGUGUAGGAUAGGUGGGAGGCUUUGAAGUGUGGACGCCAGUCUGCAUGGAGCCGACCUUGAAAUACCACCCUUUAAUGUUUGAUGUUCUAACGUGGGCCCCUUACCGGGGUUGCGGACAGUGUCUGGUGGGUAGUUUGACUGGGGCGGUCUCCUCCUAAAGAGUAACGGAGGAGCACGAAGGUUGGCUAAUCCUGGUCGGACAUCAGGAGGUUAGUGCAAUGGCAUAAGCCAGCUUGACUGCGAGCGUGACGGCGCGAGCAGGUGCGAAAGCAGGUCAUAGUGAUCCGGUGGUUCUGAAUGGAAGGGCCAUCGCUCAACGGAUAAAAGGUACUCCGGGGAUAACAGGCUGAUACCGCCCAAGAGUUCAUAUCGACGGCGGUGUUUGGCACCUCGAUGUCGGCUCAUCACAUCCUGGGGCUGAAGUAGGUCCCAAGGGUAUGGCUGUUCGCCAUUUAAAGUGGUACGCGAGCUGGGUUUAGAACGUCGUGAGACAGUUCGGUCCCUAUCUGCCGUGGGCGCUGGAGAACUGAGGGGGGCUGCUCCUAGUACGAGAGGACCGGAGUGGACGCAUCACUGGUGUUCGGGUUGUCAUGCCAAUGGCACUGCCCGGUAGCUAAAUGCGGAAGAGAUAAGUGCUGAAAGCAUCUAAGCACGAAACUUGCCCCGAGAUGAGUUCUCCCUGACUCCUUGAGAGUCCUGAAGGAACGUUGAAGACGACGACGUUGAUAGGCCGGGUGUGUAAGCGCAGCGAUGCGUUGAGCUAACCGGUACUAAUGAACCGUGAGGCUUAACCUU